This 75-nucleotide transfer RNA is filed under the name Chloroflexota bacterium. RNAcentral describes it as "Chloroflexi bacterium (groundwater metagenome) tRNA-Ala". It matches the Rfam family "tRNA". Rfam says of the family: Transfer RNA (tRNA) molecules are approximately 80 nucleotides in length. Their secondary structure includes four short double-helical elements and three loops (D, anti-codon, and T loops). The record is from RNAcentral. Lineage: Bacteria; Bacillati; Chloroflexota.
GGGCCCGUAGCUCAGCCUGGGAGUAGCGGCUGCAUGGCAUGCAGUAGGUCGAGGGUUCAAAUCACUCCGGGUCCA